GCGUUUAAAUAAAUCAAGAUGGGGGGGGCAAGUAAUUAUCUCUCUCAUUGAAAUAGGAUUAAGGCAAAACACUGAUGAGUCUGUCGGUAUCGACCAGUUAGCAUUUAUAAAUGCUGACUUUGAAUAUCUGUUGAGUCCUGAUAGGGUUUUAUGUGAAAUGGUCCCCAUUUGGCAUGUGUGAUUUAAUACCCGCCCCUCCAGCUGCUGGUGCAGUCUUAGCAACUGUGAAACCUUUGUGAUGUGGGACCUACCUGGUGAAACUAAGUCAUAAAAGGUGGGCCUCUGGUUCCGACCUCUGUGUUCUGCUUCUUGUUCCAGGCCCAAUGUGAGGCUCUUUACCACAUGUGCACACCCCCUUGCCCUCCCCACGGUGAUGAACUGAAAUCCUUCUGAAAUUAUGAGCCAGCACGUUUGUUUUUCCUCGCCAAGUUCCUCUGCCGGGGGCAUCUCCAGAGCGAUAACCAAAGUAGCUAAUGCUUCACUGGGUGCAUUUUGUUGUAAAAGGUUGGCCUUCUCACUUCCAUAUUUCAGAAUUUCAGGUAUGCUGAUACUAUCAAGAUGGAUGGAAGAUUCAGUCAUGAAAGACACAUUUGCAUCAGUUUGGAAAACUCAGAGGCCUCAGCGUGAGUCUCCUGGUUCUGAAUUUGAUCUGGGAGAGAACAAGAGAAAAGGAAGAAGUGUGGACUCCACUAAUGUCUGCCUCUCAACUUGAAAACAGAAACAUUCCUCUGAAAGCCACGUCAGCCUUCUCUAGCCGAGCAGGCAGCAGGUGAAACAAUUUGUGCCUCGAUUCCCACAGCCCCCAAACAGCAACUCCCAUUUAAUUUCUCUGCCGCUUUUUACAUUUUUAAAAUAAAAAAACAAACAAAACAUCCAGCUGUUCGAGUCAUUUUGCGCAUCCCCGGCCUUCUGCUGGAUGCUGGUAUGUGAUGACUUUUACUCAUCUUUCUGCCUGGAACUUCCGAUUAGUUAAGUGGCCUCAGGUGUCGAGUGCAAGAUGACCCACAGGCAAGGUUAAGUGAGUCCCAGAGACAAGAG
Peromyscus californicus insignis is the source of this 1038-nucleotide long non-coding RNA. RefSeq lists it as uncharacterized. The record is from RefSeq and is a predicted model, not a curated record. Lineage: Eukaryota; Metazoa; Chordata; Mammalia; Rodentia; Cricetidae. The transcript is spliced from 3 exons.